This 858-nucleotide ribosomal RNA is filed under the name uncultured Bacteroidota bacterium. RNAcentral describes it as "bacterial SSU rRNA". It matches the Rfam family "Bacterial small subunit ribosomal RNA", at positions 17 to 865 of the family's 1533-position model. The record is from RNAcentral. Lineage: Bacteria; Pseudomonadati; Bacteroidota.
UCAUGGCUCAGGAUGAACGCUAGCUACAGGCUUAACACAUGCAAGUCGAGGGGAAACGAUAGAGAAAGCUUGCUUUUUCUAGGCGUCGACCGGCGCACGGGUGAGUAACGCGUAUCCAACCUGCCCAUCACUUGGGGAUAACCUUGCGAAAGUAAGACUAAUACCCAAUGACGUCCAUAGAAGACAUCUGAAGUGGAUUAAAGAUUUAUCGGUGAUGGAUGGGGAUGCGUCUGAUUAGCUUGUUGGCGGGGUAACGGCCCACCAAGGCGACGAUCAGUAGGGGUUCUGAGAGGAAGGUCCCCCACAUUGGAACUGAGACACGGUCCAAACUCCUACGGGAGGCAGCAGUGAGGAAUAUUGGUCAAUGGGCGAGAGCCUGAACCAGCCAAGUAGCGUGCAGGAUGACGGCCCUAUGGGUUGUAAACUGCUUUUAUAAGGGAAUAAAGUGAGUCUCGUGAGACUUUUUGCAUGUACCUUAUGAAUAAGGACCGGCUAAUUCCGUGCCAGCAGCCGCGGUAAUACGGAAGGUCCGGGCGUUAUCCGGAUUUAUUGGGUUUAAAGGGAGCGUAGGCCGGAGAUUAAGCGUGUUGUGAAAUGUAGACGCUCAACGUCUGCACUGCAGCGCGAACUGGUUUCCUUGAGUACGCACAAAGUGGGCGGAAUUCGUGGUGUAGCGGUGAAAUGCUUAGAUAUCACGAAGAACUCCGAUUGCGAAGGCAGCUCACUGGAGCGCAACUGACGCUGAAGCUCGAAAGUGCGGGUAUCGAACAGGAUUAGAUACCCUGGUAGUCCGCACGGUAAACGAUGGAUGCCCGCUGUUGGUCUGAAUAGGUCAGCGGCCAAGCGAAAGCAUUAAGC